UGGGAACCUUCCUUUAUAUGCGAAGUUUGCACGUACUUUAAACUUUUUGGUACAGGUUUCUGUGCCUUUCUAUCUUUUAAAACAUGGCAAAUAACUGUUGAAAGUAAUUAAAUCUCAAGUACUUGCAAUACCCUACAAGAUUCAGAUCACCCUGUCAUCUUGCUUGGCAUUGCCUUCCCAUGGCGAAAUAAAUGCAAAUGCAAAUGCAAAGACUAUGAACUUCAGAGUUAUCUCUUCCCAAUCUUUCAAAAAAAAAAAAAAAACCUUCUACGAUCCAAUCAUCUUUCCUCCAUCUUGACCAAUCGACAAUUUCUUAUGAUUCCUCU
This 326-nucleotide long non-coding RNA is filed under the name Theobroma cacao (cacao). RNAcentral's name for it is "long non-coding RNA (TCAC_LNC004781)". Lineage: Eukaryota; Viridiplantae; Streptophyta; Magnoliopsida; Malvales; Malvaceae. The record is from RNAcentral.